RNAcentral lists this unclassified non-coding RNA (226 nucleotides) under Mycobacterium terrae. RNAcentral describes it as "Mycolicibacter terrae 16S-23S ribosomal RNA intergenic spacer". The record is from RNAcentral. Lineage: Bacteria; Bacillati; Actinomycetota; Actinomycetes; Mycobacteriales; Mycobacteriaceae.
AAGGAGCACCAUGAUUCCCCCGUACCUCACAUGGGUGAGGGUGAUGCGGUUGGGAGAGUUUGUGCCGGCGCCUGUAGUGGGUGGUCGGUGGUGCAGAGGAAUUACGAACAACAACAAGUGAAGACACCAACCGCCAGCAGCCUUGUGCUUCUGGUGGCCGGCUUUCGGGUUGGGCACACUGUUGGGUCCUGAGGCAACAGGCCCGUUGUUUGCUCCCCUGGUGGGG